UGAGGAAUAUUGGUCAAUGGGCGCGAGCCUGAACCAGCCAAGUCGCGUGAGGGAAGACGGCCCUACGGGUUGUAAACCUCUUUUGCCGGGGAGCAACGCUGCGGACGAGUCCGCAGGUGAGAGUACCCGGAGAAAAAGCAUCGGCUAACUCCGUGCCAGCAGCCGCGGUAAUACGGAGGAUGCGAGCGUUAUCCGGAUUUAUUGGGUUUAAAGGGUGCGUAGGCGGAUUAUUAAGUCAGCGGUGAAAGCGUGUGGCUCAACCAUACAAUUGCCGUUGAUACUGGUAGUCUUGAGUGUAAACGAGGUAGGCGGAAUGUGAUGUGUAGCGGUGAAAUGCUUAGAUAUGUCACAGAACUCCGAUUGCGAAGGCAGCUUACCAGGAUACGACUGACGCUGAGGCACGAAAGCGUGGGUAUCAAACAGGAUUAGAUACCCUGGUAGU
This 442-nucleotide ribosomal RNA is filed under the name uncultured Porphyromonadaceae bacterium. RNAcentral describes it as "bacterial SSU rRNA". It matches the Rfam family "Bacterial small subunit ribosomal RNA", at positions 355 to 794 of the family's 1533-position model. The record is from RNAcentral. Lineage: Bacteria; Pseudomonadati; Bacteroidota; Bacteroidia; Bacteroidales; Porphyromonadaceae.